This 2335-nucleotide long non-coding RNA is filed under the name Pelobates cultripes (western spadefoot toad). The record is from RNAcentral. Lineage: Eukaryota; Metazoa; Chordata; Amphibia; Anura; Pelobatidae.
CUCAGGUCGCCCCCGAAGCUGUGCGCUAGGUAAGUCAGAGCAGGCACCUGCUUACCUUAAUGGCAGGUGCCUGCUUUCCCAACAAAUCCCAGUGGGCGGAGAAGGCAAGCGAUGAGGGAGGCUGUUCUUGCAGUCUCUCACUCCUCUCUUGCGCGCCCUCUGUGAUGCCGGGAGCCGGAAUAUGACGUCUUUCCGGCCCCGGCAUACUAAACAGCGCACUGGAGGAGUGAGGAGAUGCCCCACACUGGACUUCAGGGAAGUGAGUAUUUGAGUAUUUGGCUGUAAGUGAGAGUGUGUGUGAGUGUCUGUCUGCCUGUGUGUGUGUGUGUGUGUGUGUGUGAGUGUUUGACUGUCAGUGUGUGUGUCUGCCUGUGUGUGAGUAUGUAUGUCAGUGAGUGUUUGUGAGUGUAUGUCUGAUAGUGAGAGUGAGUGUGUGUGUGUCGGUCAGUGAGUGUGUGAAUGUCUGUCUGUCAGUGAUUGUGUGUUUGUCUGUCAGUGAGUGAAUGUGUGUCUGCCUGUGAAUAAAUGUGUCUGCCAGUGUGUGUCUGUCAGUGAGUGAGUGAAUGUCUGUCUGUCUGUGAUUGUGUGUUUGUCUGUCAGUGAGUGAAUGUGUGUCUGCCUGUGAGUAAAUGUGUCUGCCAGUGUGUGUCUGUCAGUGAGUAAGUGACAUGAGGAGGGCGACAAAAUGGAUCUUUGCCUGGGGAGGCAGAAAUCCUUGAACCAGCCCUGCAUAUAGAUUACUGUGGCCAUAAAAAGCCAGAACACUUAUAUGGUAUAGUCUCCUCUCCACAGUCACUCCAUGUCUGAUGAAAUGUGUCCAACCCAGUGCUUCUAAUACAGAAGCAUUAGGGACAUGUGCAGCAAUUGCCACGCUCUAUCAUUCCACUGCGUUUUAAAGAUAAGCUAUGAGAAGCACUAGUUGCAUUUGGUUCCAUCUUGUGGCGUGUGAUGGUAUUGAACGUGAAGAUCAUAAAAAAUGAAAAUAAACGCCUGACAGCCACUAGAGUUGUGGUUUACGCAAAAUGCAUUGUAGUUUCUCAGAAAUGGCAAUAUUUUACAUUGUCAUAGAAAAGGGACAGGGUCUCUGAAUCAAAACUACUUACCGUAUAUACUCGAGUAUAAGUCGACCCGAAUAUAAGUCGAGACCUCUAAUUUUACCCCAAAAAACUGGGAAAACUUAUUGACUCGAGACUGGGGUGGGAAAUGCAGCAGCUACUGGUAAAUUUCUAAAUAAAAUUAUAUCCCCCAAAAAUUAUAUUAAUUGAAUAUUUAUUUACAGUGUGUGUAUAUAAUGAAUGCAGUGUGUGUGUGUGUAUAUAAUGCAAUGUGUUUGUAUGAAUGCGGUGUGUGUGUGUGUGUAUGAGUGCAGUGUGUGUGUCUAUGAAUGCAGUGUGUGUAUGAGUGCAGUGUGUGUGUGUGUAUAUGAGUGCAGUGUGUGUGUGAUGCAGAGCCUUGGUGGGGGGUGGGCAUUUUUAUAAAUUUUUUAAAAAUUAUUAUUUUAAUAUUAAAUUAAUUUUUUUUAUAUAUUAUUAUUUUAUUAUUAUUUAAAUCUUUAUUUAUAUUUAUUUUUGUCCCCCCUCCCUGCUUGUUAGCUGGCCAGGGAGGGGGGCUUUCAUUCCCUGGUGGUCCAGUGGGGUACACUGUGUAGGAGGGGGGCUGGCAGCGAGCUGUAACUUACCUUUCCUGCAGCUCCUGUCAGCUCCCCUGUAAGUCUCGUGGUGUGAGUGCCGCGCGGAGCGUUGCCACGGUAACCCAUGGCAACGCUCUGACCCCGCAGCUCUCGCAAAACUUGCAGGGGAGCUGACCGGACCGGAGGAGAGAGAAGGGAGCUGACAGGAGCUGCAGGAAAGGUAAGAAAACACUUCCUGCCAGCCUCCAACAGGACCGCCGGGCUUGUAAUGAGCCCAGCGGUCCUUGUCUGUAUUAUGGCAAUGUACGUUGCCAUAAUACAGACAGUGACUCGAGUAUAAGACGAGUGGGGGUUUUUUAGCACAAAAAAUUUGCUGAAAAACUCGUCUUAUACUCGAGUAUAUACGGUAAUUAAAACAAAGUGGUUUUAAUGCUUAGUGUCCCUUUUAAGCUAAGCAUACGUUUUGCAUACUAUAAAACAUUAAAAUUGGUUAAAACUGCAAAUUAUUCACCCCGUGACUUCAUUUUAUGUAGAAAGCAAAAUGUAGAAAGUCCUUGCACUCACGCUUAGUAGACUGUUUGCCGGGUGCUUCAAAUCCAGGAAAAUUCUAAUAUAUAUAUAGAUAGUGAUCAGCACUCACGGACUUGUGAAGAUUAAAACAUACAGUUUAUUGAUAAUCCAUUAAAAAUAAGAUCGACGUUUCAG